This 459-nucleotide ribosomal RNA is filed under the name uncultured bacterium. Its description in RNAcentral is "partial 16S ribosomal RNA". It matches the Rfam family "Bacterial small subunit ribosomal RNA", at positions 338 to 795 of the family's 1533-position model. The record is from RNAcentral.
CCUACGGGAGGCUGCAGUGAGGAAUAUUGGUCAAUGGGCGCGAGCCUGAACCAGCCAAGUCGCGUGAGGGAAGACGGUCCUAUGGAUUGUAAACCUCUUUUGUCGGGGAGCAAAAUACGCCACGCGUGGCGUUCCGCGCAUACCCGACGAAAAAGCAUCGGCUAACUCCGUGCCAGCUGCCGCGGUAAUACGGGGGCUGCGAGCGUUAUCCGGAUGUGUUGGGUUUAAGGGGUGCGCAGGCGGACGCUUAAGUCAGCGGUAAAAGUGCGGGGCUCAACCUCGUCGAGCCGUUGAAACUGGGGGCCUUGAGUGGGAGAGAAGGAAGCGGAAUGCGUGGUGUAGCGGUGAAAUGCAUAGAUAUCACGCAGAACUCCGAUUGCGAAGGCAGCGUACCGGAGCCUAACUGACGCUGAAGCACGAAGGCGUGGGUAUCGAACAGGAUUAGAUACCCGGGUAGUC